Molecule: ribosomal RNA, 252 nt
Filed under: Mitsuokella multacida DSM 20544
Lineage: Bacteria; Bacillati; Bacillota; Negativicutes; Selenomonadales; Selenomonadaceae
Description: partial 16S ribosomal RNA
Rfam family: Bacterial small subunit ribosomal RNA
Source: RNAcentral
UACGUAGGUGGCGAGCGUUGUCCGGAAUUAUUGGGCGUAAAGGGAGCGCAGGCGGGAGAUCAAGUCUAUCUUAAAAGUGCGGGGCUCAACCUCGUGAGGGGAUGGAAACUGGUCUUCUUGAGUGCAGGAGAGGAAAGCGGAAUUCCUAGUGUAGCGGUGAAAUGCGUAGAUAUUAGGAGGAACACCAGUGGCGAAGGCGGCUUUCUGGACUGUAACUGACGCUGAGGCUCGAAAGCGUGGGGAGCGAACAGG